AGCAAAGAAGUGGGACACUGAAAGGACUGAGGAGAGGCGAAAAUAAUACAUUGAGAUAAGACGUAGGGCAAAGGAAGAGGCGGCGAAAGCAAAAGAAGGGGCAUAUGACGAUAUGUAUAACAGGUCGGAGACAAAAGAAGGAGAAAAGGAUUACUACAGGUUGGACAGACAGAGGGAUAGAGAUGGGAAGGAUGUGCAGCAGUCUCCUGUUACCUGGCUGUCUGCUGGUGGGCAGGGCCACCUGUUGCACACCUGAUGGCAGUGAUGAUCAGGAGUUCAUUUAGGAUGGCACAGUGGAUCAGCUGGAAAGCACUGGCCUCAAAGUUCUGAGGUGCAGUGUUCAAUCACGGACCUGCCUGUGUGGAGUUUGCAUGUUCUCCCCUUGCCUGCAUGGAUUUCCUCCGGCCACUCCGGUUUCCUCCCACAUCCCCAAAACCUGCAAUUUUAAUCGGAUACAAAAUUGCCCCUAGGUGUGAUUAAACUGCCAUGAACACAUCCAGUACAUCCAGCUGGUUCUGCAACGUCUCAUGGAAAACUGGCUGUAUGUUAAAGCGGAUAAGUGUGGAUUCCAUUGUAGCUCUGUUCAGUUUUUGGGGUUCAUCCUGGAGAAUGGGCAACAACUAGCAGAUUAGGCUAAAAUCCAGGCUGUGGUAGAUUGGCCUUCUCCUACAUCAAGGAAACAAGCAAUUUUCUAAAAGCGAUUAAUUCACAAUUUGAGUAAUUAGGCAGAGCCUAUAACCAAGCUGACAUCAUCAGAAGUCCCUUUUAGGGGGACCCGAGACGCUGCAUUUGAUACGCUUAAGCGACUAUUUACUUGUGCAUCCAAUCUGAUUUACCCCAACAUUGAUUUCCAAUUUUUUUUUUCUUGAAGUUGACACUUUGGAUUCAGGCGUGGGGGCUGUCCUAUCCCAGAGAUCCCCGGUCAAAAAGAGGCUUCACCCCAUCACCUUCUUCUGCCGUCGUCUCAAGUCCGUCUGAGCAGAAUUUUCAUGUUUCUUAAUUUCCGUCAAGCUUGGUGGGCCCUGUUCCUAACUCGUUUCAAUUUCACCAUCACCUACAGACUUGGCUUGAGAAAUAUUAAGACAGAUGCUCUCCCCGUGCUCCACGAGUCAUCUUUGGAGGACCAACCCUAGAAGACAGUUGUACCAACGGCCCGUAUUGUGGGAGGACUCUGGUGGGAGUUUGAAACUUGGGUGGGCAAGGUGCAGAGAGAGUUACAGGUCCCUGAUGGAUGCCCAAAUGGAAAAGUUUUUGUUCCUGGCAGAUUACGCCCAGAGGUACUACAAUGGGGACAUGACUCUAAGUUGGCCUGUCACCCAGGAGUUGUUUGGACUUGCUUUUUGGUUUCCCAGAGGUUCUGGUGGCCGGGGCUUCAUAAAGACGUAGAAAGAUUUGUUGCUGUCUGCCUGGUUUGUGCCCUCUCCAAGACUUCUCGUCCACCCUCGGUGGGCCUCCUCUGUCCACUUAACGUUCUUUCAUGCUGUUGGUCGCAUAUUGCCUUGGAUUUUGUCAUGGUCUUCCACUCUCAUGAGGCAACUCAGUGAUCCUCAGUGUGAUGGACAGGUUUUCCAAGAUGGCCGACUUCCUCCCUGGAGACCACUAUGCUGUUGGUUGAGGACAUCUUCAAAAUCCAUGGUAAUACCUCGGCCCCGGUUUCGGACAGGGGACCCCAGUUUGUCUCUCAGGUGUUGAGGGCGGUCUGUAAGGCCUUGGAUGUGUCUGCCUGCCUUUCCUAAGGGUAUCACGCCUGGUCAAAUGCUCAGGUAGAGUGUGCCAAUCAAGACCUUGUGGCUGCCCUUCGCCGCAUCAUCAACACCAAUCAUCAUGGUCCUCCCAGCUGCCGUGGAUGGUGUAUGCUCAUAAGUCUCUCUUUUGCUCGGCAACGGGUAUGUCACCCUUCCAUGUGGCUUAUGGUUAUCAGCCUCCCGUAUUCCCUUUUCAGAAGAGGUAUGUUUCUGUUCCUUCGGUCCAUUUUCUCCUUAGGCGGGCCCAUCACGUGCCCGUGCAGCACUAACCUGCACUGCUGCUCGCAAUAGGCUGGUGGCCAACUGCUAUGUCCCCGCUCCAGCUUACCUUCCGGGGCAGGUGUGGCUCUCGCGGAACUUGGGGUUGGCCAGAAUUUGUUGUCAAAGAAUUUGGGCCCAAAGUUCAUUAGUCCCUUGGAAAUUGUCUCUGCCCUAAACCUGGCUGGCGUGAAGCUCAAGCUCCCUUCUCUGCUUAAGGUACAUCCAGUCUUCCACGUUUCCGUGCUCGAGCCUGUCUCUGCCUGCUCAUUGAGUCCUCUGGUGGUUCCACCCCCGCUGUCUGUGGUUGAUGACCAGCCUGCCUACACUGUUAGGUCUGUUUUGGACUCUCAGAAAAGGAGCUGGGGUGUCCAAUAUCAGUUCAACUGGGAGGAGUAUGGUCUUGAGGAGAGCCAAUGGAUUCCGUGCUCUUGGAUCCCAGACCCGUCUGUCAUCCACCACUUCCAAUCGCUCCAUCUUGAUAAGACGUGUAUGCCGGCAGGGGGUGUCCUUUGCGGGGAGAGUGGGGGUUGUCUCGUCCUGUCAAUGGGAUUAUUGGUGCUUGUUUCAUGCUGACCUUUUAUCAGCGUUUCUUAGUGUUUGUACUUUUACUGCUUCAGCUUGUGUGUUACGUGCACUUUUAGUUCCUCUUUCUCUCCGUAUGUUAGAUUCAAAUUUUAUUAUUAAAUAGAGUGUGCGCUACCCAACCAGUCUUCUAUCGGGGUCUUUAUUCCUUCAACGUUGCAUAACACAUUUAUGUUCAAUGGUUACUCUCAAUACAAUUCUGUUGCAGGUCUCAUUGCCCACACUCUGCCUUUUAAGAACCCCCCAAAUAACAGGUCUAGUGGUGUGAGGUCUGGUGACUCUGGAGGCGAUUCAACAAAACCCUUCUGUCUAAUCCACCUAUUUGGCAAGAACUCAUUAAGGAAGGAUCUAACAUCACGAUGGCAGAGUCAGGGUGGCCCAUCUUGCUGGAAAAAAAAAAAAAAAAAAAAAAAAACCUCUUCUUCAAAGUCUUCUCUAAUGCUUGGCAUGACAGACUCUUGCAGCAAAUAAACAGCCAGCCACAGUAGCGCAAAAAAAAAAAGGGUCCAAUAUAUCCUCUUGAUGAUAAGACGGACCACACUGUAAUUCGUGCUGAAUUAACAUGGUAGUCGACCAUAACGUGUAGGUGCAUUUGUGGCAGUUAACCAAGCCAUGUAAUUUGAAUGUGGCCUCAUCACUCCACACAGCAGUCGUGGGAAAGUGUGCAUUUUCGUUAAAUUGUAUACCACUAACAGUACUGUACUCUUCAGUCUGGAUCAUCGUCAUGAAGAGCAUGAACUAACCUUGGAAUUUAACUUUUCCAUUGACAAAGUUUCUUGAUGCGUUGGACAGAUGAUUUUGAAAUCCCUACCUCACGACCAGCUUGAUGCACAGACUUUCUUGGACUUUGAUGAAAUAUUUUCAGUUCUCUUUCUUCCUUUGCAGGGCUUGUCGAUGUAGUACAUGGUCUUUCGGAAUGCUUCUUGUGGACGUUCUGAAAAGUUCCAUCAGCUUCAAAAUCACCUCUAAGUGAUAUCUCUGAGUGAUGGUAAAUUGUGCUGGUGGUCCUUGGAAGCUCUCUCCUAAAUUGUCUUUGUACUUCAACUGCGUUUUCAUACUUCAGUACCAUUUUAGAAUUAAUUUUUUUUCUUCAAAGUUUAGUCGGGCUGCCAUCGUUCCGUUCAAUCAGUUCAAUGUGCAAAGAAAAUUGAGCUGCUAAAAGGUGCAUAGGUUUUUUGGGACACCCUGUAGACAAAUCAGACUGGCAUGUCAAUAUUUGGAAACUCAUAACACUGUUCUAAAUACCAUCCACUAUAUUCAGAAGUUGUUCAAUAUAAACAGCCAAUGUCAA
Molecule: long non-coding RNA, 3879 nt
Organism: Syngnathoides biaculeatus (alligator pipefish)
Lineage: Eukaryota; Metazoa; Chordata; Actinopteri; Syngnathiformes; Syngnathidae
Exons: 4
Source: RefSeq, a predicted model, not a curated record